Long non-coding RNA from Chelonia mydas (Green sea turtle), 374 nucleotides. RefSeq lists it as uncharacterized. The record is from RefSeq and is a predicted model, not a curated record. The transcript is spliced from 2 exons. NCBI's taxonomy places the organism in Eukaryota, Metazoa, Chordata, Testudines, Cheloniidae.
UGAACCACGCCCCCAAAGCUGCAGGCUUUAACUGAAAACUACUCAGCAGGUGUCUCUUUGCUAUUAAAGAAGCUGAUGCAUUCGGAUGGCAUGUGGAAAAGCCAGUGUGAAGUGUAAAUCUUUAAGGUGAACCAAUCAGUGUGUUCUAAGGCCUAACUGACCAUGAGGCCUGAUGAACUGUGUGACUGGCAGGUGCACAGAGAGAGUUUCCCAUUACUCCUGGGGGAAUUCGGUGCGUAAAAAUUCUGCGAACAAUAUUUUAAAUUUGUGCAUAGUUAAUUUCUCAAAAUAACAUAAUAAUCACACUAGUUUCAAUUAUUUUGUUAAUUUAUUUCAAAAUACCUGUCAGCAAGUAUGUCUAACAAUACAGACAA